UACGGAGGGUGCAAGCGUUAUCCGGAUUUAUUGGGCGUAAAGCGUCCGCAGGUGGUUUUGUAAGUCAGGGGUUAAAACUCAGUGCUCAACACUGAGACUGCCUUUGAUACUGCUCAACUAGAGAACGGAAGAGGUAAGCGGAAUUCUCGGUGUAGUCGUAAUAAGCGUUGAUAUCGAGAAGAACACCAAAUGCGAAGGCAGCUUACUGGUACGUUUCUGACACUCAUGGACUAAAGCGUGGGGAGCAAACAGG
This 253-nucleotide ribosomal RNA is filed under the name uncultured bacterium. RNAcentral's name for it is "partial 16S ribosomal RNA". It matches the Rfam family "Bacterial small subunit ribosomal RNA", at positions 524 to 776 of the family's 1533-position model. The record is from RNAcentral.